GACGAACGCUGGCGGCGUGCUUAACACAUGCAAGUCGAACGGAAAGGCCCUGCUUGCAGGGUGCUCGAGUGGCGAACGGGUGAGUAACACGUGUGUGAUCUGCCCCUUACUUUGGGAUAAGCCUGGGAAACUGGGUCUAAUACUGGAUAGGACCAUGCUGUAGGUGGUGUGGUGGAAAGAUUAGUUUCGGUAAGGGAUGAGCUCGCGGCCUAUCAGCUUGUUGGUGGGGUAAUGGCCUACCAAGGCGUCGACGGGUAGCCGGCCUGAGAGGGUGGACGGCCACAUUGGGACUGAGAUACGGCCCAGACUCCUACGGGCGGCAGCAGUGGGGAAUAGUGCAAAAUGGGCGCAAGGCUGAUGCAGCGACGCCGCGUGGGGGAUGACGGCCUUCGGGUUGUAAACUCCUUUCGGCCAUGACGAAGCCCUUGUGGUGACGGUAGUGGUAGAAGAAGCACCGGCUAACUACGUG
Molecule: ribosomal RNA, 469 nt
Filed under: uncultured bacterium
Lineage: Bacteria
Description: partial 16S ribosomal RNA
Rfam family: Bacterial small subunit ribosomal RNA
Source: RNAcentral